CAGUAGCCGCGGUAAGACAGAGGAUGCAAGCGUUGUUCGGAAUUAUUGGGCGUAAAGGGUGCGUAGGCGGCUUGACAAGUCUUGUGUGAAAUCUAUGGGCUCAACCCAUAGUCUGUACGGGAAACUGUCGGGCUUGAGAAUGGGGGAGGUGAGUGGAAUUUCCGGUGUAGCGGUGAAAUGCGUAGAUAUCGGAAGGAACACCUGUGGCGAAAGCGGCUCACUGGACCAUUUCUGACGCUGAUGCACGAAAGCUAGGGGAGCAAACAGGAUUAGAUACCCCCGUAGUCCCUGUCUCUUAUAC
This 301-nucleotide ribosomal RNA is filed under the name uncultured bacterium. Its description in RNAcentral is "partial 16S ribosomal RNA". It matches the Rfam family "Bacterial small subunit ribosomal RNA", at positions 509 to 807 of the family's 1533-position model. The record is from RNAcentral.